Regulatory RNA element from Streptomyces turgidiscabies Car8, 60 nucleotides. It matches the Rfam family "Actino-pnp RNA". The record is from Rfam. Lineage: Bacteria; Bacillati; Actinomycetota; Actinomycetes; Kitasatosporales; Streptomycetaceae.
GCCGGUCCUCGGUAGUGGCCCCCGGGAACCGACUCCCGGGUGCUUCGAUCGAAGACCGGC